RNAcentral lists this long non-coding RNA (218 nucleotides) under Mytilus galloprovincialis (Mediterranean mussel). The record is from RNAcentral. Lineage: Eukaryota; Metazoa; Mollusca; Bivalvia; Mytilida; Mytilidae.
GUUUAAUAAAAUGACAUUUAACGCGGCAGGUUUGAGAACGAUGCAACAAUAGUUUACAUUGCAACGCGUUUAAUGUCACUCGUUACUGAACUUUUUACACUUAUUUUCCGUACCUAAUAUACUUAAAAGAUAAGAAGAGUCAUAACAAUAUACUACGAUAAGUGCACAGGUACUUAUUCUAGUUGUUUAAUGUUCUCCAAUUUAUAGAAAAAACACAC